AUAGUGACGAGUCCCAAAUAGGACGAAACACGCGUCCUGGAU
Schistosoma mansoni is the source of this 42-nucleotide non-coding RNA. The record is from Rfam. NCBI's taxonomy places the organism in Eukaryota, Metazoa, Platyhelminthes, Trematoda, Strigeidida, Schistosomatidae.